GACGAACCGUGCGAACGUUGUUCGGAAUCACUGGGCUUAAAGGGCGCGUAGGCGGCUUGCCAAGUCAGGGGUGAAAUCCUGCAGCUUAACUGUAGAAGGGCCUUUGAUACUGGCGAGCUCGAGGGAGGUAGGGGUAUGUGGAACUUCCGGUGGAGCGGUGAAAUGCGUUGAUAUCGGAAGGAACGCCGGUGGCGAAAGCGAACUGCUGGACCUCUUCUGACACUGAGGCGCGAAAGCUAGGGGAGCAAACGGG
This 253-nucleotide ribosomal RNA is filed under the name uncultured bacterium. RNAcentral describes it as "partial 16S ribosomal RNA". It matches the Rfam family "Bacterial small subunit ribosomal RNA", at positions 524 to 776 of the family's 1533-position model. The record is from RNAcentral.